CACUCAAAUCGGUCGUCCUAGUGGCCAAGUUACAGAGUUUUGGCUGUCUGAUAAAGAUCAAAAAUGCGCACAUGCAUAUGUAUUGCGGAAUUGUGAUUACUUUCGUCCCCUAGAGAGUGUGUUGGACGAUCAAAUUCGGUAUGAAUAUCCAGAACUCACUGAUGAUGAAGUCACAUCGAAAAGAGAUGAAGAUUUUAGCGAUUGGGUUUGCCAAUAUGUGUCUACAAUGAAACAUAUCCAAAGUUUUCCUCCAUGGGUUCAUGAAUUGGUUGAUGGUCCAGAAAACAAAGUCAAGUCGUGGCCCAUGUAUUUUACCAGAGGUUACAUGUUUCACACGCGUGAACACGGGCAGACGAAAAAGACAAUGAAUUAUGGGGUAUGUGUCCGAGGGCAAAAUUAUUCUGAAGCAUCUAUGGAGGAUGAUUUUUUUGGGACCGUUGAAAACAUAAUCGAGCUCGAGUAUCCUGGCAUUAUUAACCUAAAGAUAACACUUUU
Molecule: RNA transcript, 495 nt
Organism: Camelina sativa (false flax)
Lineage: Eukaryota; Viridiplantae; Streptophyta; Magnoliopsida; Brassicales; Brassicaceae
Source: RefSeq, a predicted model, not a curated record